GCUAGUGGAUGGUACAAUAUGGCCCUUGGACAGCUGCUCCUGCACGAGAGACUGCAGCGCCUUUAGCUUUUUAUCUGGAAAGGGCCAGUGAUCCAUCCAUAUGGAUUUAUCAGUCCUCCAGGUUAGCUGAAGGGUGGCAUGCUGCUCAGUGGCCCUGACCGCAGUGGGACAAAGAUUUCUAGUCUUGCCCCCGACUGAGUUCAUAGGUCCCUCCCCCAGAGUGUUAUAGGGGACCGGACCACAAAAGGUCUUACCGUGGGUACCCUCCCCUCAGGUCCCUCAAUACAGAUGAUGUCCUGGCUCCUGAAACUGAUGUUAACCCAAUGCCCAGAAUGACUCCAGUGGUUGGUACAAGGGGCCACUCCUUUGGCCACUUGGAGCAGGAGAUGAUAAUGACAUCCACACUGGUGUCCAACAGUCCUGUGAGGUGUAUGGUUUUUCCCUUCUGGUAUAGAGCACACUCUGCAAUAGGUCUAUCAUGACCCAUGAUCUGAGCCCACAUCACUAGUGAAUCUGCAGGCAUGAUGACAGUCAAUUCUGGCAAAAGAUAAGAUUGGGAGACAACAGUGCCCUUGGGGAUGAAGAGAGUGGGGUUCAGGUAUAAAAUAUAAACUGUAAUUUCCUGUGUUGAUGUUAUAAUUGGUACUUUGGGGUGGAUAGUAUGUCCCUCUAUCCCCUCUCUCGUGUCCACCAUAAUUAAAAUGUCUUGGGGUUGAUCUUCCGGCCUGUAUUUCCCUGUCGGGAUGUUAUACACUUACAUGUCUUCAGUGUGUAUACAAAGUGUGCUUACUAACUGUUUCCAGGUUCCCAGCUGGACCUGUCGUAAGUUGAGCCCUUCUGCAAUGAUGGUGCUGUCACGACAGACUGGAGGAGCUCAGCAGGCUGGUCCUCCACGAUGGUUGAGAGAUUAGGGUGAAACAGCCUUGCAUUUGGUGUCAUAGCACAAGGCCUCUCCGCACUCAACCAGGAGUUUCCUGGAGAUGAAUUCAGUGGGAGAGAGCAGGUUUUGCAUAAAGUGCCUCGAGUCAUGAUGCACCAUAAUGUGAGCUACAGUAAGUUGUUAAAAUAAGGUGAGUUCCUCCUGUAAUCCUUUUGCUGCCUUACAAAUGUCUUUCAUCUCCCCAUGGGGGACAGAUUACCACUGGGGGUUAGCUCCUGUGCGAUACUGUGCUGGUGCCACUUGAAUUUUCAACACCAGUUCCCAGUCACCCUCCCUUGCGGCUGCUUUUGCAUCCUUUGCCAAAAGUCUUCAAACUCAGAUGAGCCCUCACUCUCUUCCUCUGAGGGGGAAGCCUAUUUCUCGGACGAGGAGCAAUGCAUUUGGCCAACUGGCAAGGCCCAGUGUUUUGGGCUUUCAGUAGCCAAGAUGGCUACCUUCUGGACAUCAUCAUUUCCACUAGCAUGGGAAACAGAAGAGGUUGGGUUGGAGGACGUGGGGCCCAUCCAAGGGAGGGACUUCCUGGUGGAAGGGGAGGGUCCUGAUACAGGGGUGGUACUCAGUGCGAGGGUGGGGCCUGAUGCAGGGGAAGGAUCUGACAAAAAGGUGGGAAACAGGGAGGGCGGUGGGAGUGAAUUCAAAAUAGCGGUUCCCCUCAUGGGGUGGGCACCAUUUUGUAUGGUGUAUGAUGGGAGGAUAGGAUCAAGGGGUGGCAGAACAUGGGUUAGGACAGAGUGGGGCAGUAUGGCCAGUACCAUCCUGGGUAGACAGGGAGGGGAGAUGGCAGGCAGCAGAUGGCUUGCUUGUGUCUCAUUGCAGGUUCCAUCUCCCGUCCUGUUCUCCAGAAUAAUGGGAUUAGGAAACAUGGAGACGGAAUGUAACAACUGGGGAAGCAAGCUCGAACCACUAACUUGGGAAAUGACCUCAUAAAUCAAAUGAAAAACAGAAUAAAACUUAGCAACUUUCAAAACCCCCAAGUUUGUAAAAAAUAAAUCCUCUCCCCAACAGAAUCCCAAAACUCCACUUGGUAAGCUAGAUCAUAGAAAUAUUUGGAAACUCUUUAAACAACCACUGAAUAAAACAUUUUAAAUUCCCCUUAACAAAAGGUUUCUCCUCUAGAAUCAAAAUUUCCCUAACCUGUAUGUAUACGUGCCUUUCAGCCUGGGACAACACAUUCCCCAUGGCUGCCUUUGAUGGAAAAGGAUUGCCCACCUAUAGGAAUUAAACAACUAAACCCUUUUCCCCUGCUUUCCUGGCUGUCUCCCAACCAAUAUCUCUCUCUCUGGCAGAUCUGGGUGCAGGUCUUCAAGAGAUCCUGUGGGCUGUUGUCAGCCGAAUCGGUCCUCCUGCUGUCUGGAGUGUGCUGACUCUCCUUUCCACAAGCCCUGAUAAAACUCAGGUCUUGCUUCUGGGUUGUGGCUCACCUGAAGAUGUCUUGCUUCCGACAACAAUGGACCGGAUGAUUUGUUGCUGGAGUCGCUCUCAGGGACCUCCAAAAAGGUCCCUUUUCAGGUGCCACUCGUUGUGUCA
This is a non-coding RNA of Cyanistes caeruleus (blue tit), 2467 nucleotides long. The record is from RefSeq and is a predicted model, not a curated record. NCBI's taxonomy places the organism in Eukaryota, Metazoa, Chordata, Aves, Passeriformes, Paridae.